UCACGCCAAUACACCUUCUUUACAGUAGAAGAAAAAGGUGGCACCUGAGACAUGAGGAUCGCACUAACACUGCUUGCUCUUGUGAGUAUUAUUGCAUGCUAUCUGCAUUUUGUUGAUGGAGAAGAGACAAACGAAGAUGGACAGGUGGGACAGAGGGGUAAUCUAGUCGAACGAUUGCGAAGAGCCGCGUCUGUUAGAAGUGGCUCUGGGGAACCUUCAAUGCGAUUUAAAAGAGCAAUGCCAGUUUUAGCAAGCAAUCGACGAGGUCGCCGUCAAAGAAGUCGAGGGGGUAGAGGAGGAAGGCGAGGACGACUUCCAGGAAGGCGAGGGGGUAGACGAGGACGUCGCCCAGGAAGGCGAGGGGGCAGAGGAGGAAGGCGAGGACGCCGUCCAGGAAGGCGAGGAGGUAGACGAGGACGUCGUCCAGGAAGGCGAGGGGGCAGAGGAGGAAGGCGAGGACGCCGCCCAGGAAGGCUAGGGGGUAGACGAGGACGCCGACCAGGAAGGCGAGGGGGUAGAGGAGGAAGGCGAGGACUCAGACGGGGACGCCGACCAUUAAGGAAAGGGAACGUAAGGCGAGGACAGGUGACGCCGCCCUAACCGUGAUAUAAAAAUGAACUUGUGCAUGUCAGUCAUGAAUAAAGGCAAAUGUUAGUUUGUA
Long non-coding RNA from Haliotis rufescens (red abalone), 661 nucleotides. RefSeq lists it as uncharacterized. NCBI's taxonomy places the organism in Eukaryota, Metazoa, Mollusca, Gastropoda, Lepetellida, Haliotidae. The transcript is spliced from 2 exons. The record is from RefSeq and is a predicted model, not a curated record.